UGAUAUAACUGGAAAUGUGUGUUUCAGUCCCAUGAUCAAAAAGGUGUUUUUCCCAGGGUAAGGCCUGAACCUUGCACUCUGGGCAGGAUGACCCCCAUGAGUUUCCCUAAAUGUGGGAAACUUGACUGCACAGUUUUGUGUAAAUGGGAGACCAUGUUCUUGCUUUCUCU
This is a small nuclear RNA of Alligator sinensis (Chinese alligator), 170 nucleotides long. RefSeq annotates it as U1 spliceosomal RNA. The record is from RefSeq and is a predicted model, not a curated record. NCBI's taxonomy places the organism in Eukaryota, Metazoa, Chordata, Crocodylia, Alligatoridae. The transcript has a single exon.